RNAcentral lists this long non-coding RNA (1210 nucleotides) under Gouania willdenowi (blunt-snouted clingfish). Its description in RNAcentral is "lncRNA (ENSGWIG00000005635.1)". Lineage: Eukaryota; Metazoa; Chordata; Actinopteri; Blenniiformes; Gobiesocidae. The record is from RNAcentral.
UGUAAGUGUAUUUAGAUUUGAAUGCUCUACUUAAUUUUUUUCUCCUUUUGUCAUUUUCUAAUGCAUUCUACCUUUUCUUGUCAAUGCCCAGUUGUACAGAUGAGCCCCUGGGUCAGGACGAGUUAUCCGACACCAUAGAACUCUUAAACGAGUUGGUAAAGGAGGGAUAUUUAUCGCCUACGGAUUUGGAUUUUUUGACCCUCCAUUCAGCAAAUCAGACAAGCAGGACGGAGCAGCCUCAAAGUAGCCAUACCUCUCAGGAACUCUUCCAUCCAGAGGACGAUAGGAGAGAGUUGAGGAUUUGGAUGAGAAAGAAGCAGAGAGAAAAACUGGCUGUAUAUCAGAAACAUAGAGAAACCCUGAGAGAAAGAGAGCGUAAACCUUUCUCUUCCUCUCGAGCAGCAGUAAAACCCACUUGUGGAAUCAGAGAGGAAAAAGAAAAGUCCAACAGGUGGUUGCUUCUGGAACAUUACAAGCAGAGGAUGGAGGAGGCUUGUUCUUUGGCAGGAGACAUCCUCACCUCUCCUGUAUCCCAACACGGUGCUUCACAUGCUGGUGGAUUCACCACAACAUUCACAGCCCGCCCUGUGUCUGCUCCACAAUCAGGCAGCACCAACAGGGCUGAUGGUUUAUCUGCUGCUUAUAAAAGAAACCCAGGGCCACACAAAGGACAAACAUCUAAACACAUUCGCUCACAGUCGACCGAGCCACAGGAACACGGUUCAGUGGAUUAUUGCAGGAGGUUUGGCCUCCAUCGACCAGUGACUGCUCUGCCAAAGGACCGUCUAUCUCAGAUUACCAAACAGGGAAUGAUCACUGUCUCAAAGAGUCACGCCAAACCACUCACAGCCAAAGGAAGCAGUGGGCGCCCCCAAAGACUCCAGACGCAGACAUCACUGAACAGGACCUACACAAGUGGAGCUGCUGAUGGAGUAGAGACUGUUAGCGAGCAGCGGAGGGUGAAGGGAAGCCAAGAGAUUGACACCUAUGAAUCCAAAAAGCUUCAGAGUCAACCGUUGGAGGAGCACGGCGAUAUCAGCAGCAUGUGCGUGUCCGGGAUGGAGUGGCUCGACCAUCUGUCUGACAGCGAAGGCAGCAAUCUCAGCAAAAUAGACUGGGCAGCCAUUGAGAGGAUGGCGGCAGCAGAGGAAGGCCAAGAAAAAUGAAGUAACACUAUAAAUAAAAACGACAUGAAUCUGCCUUAAUUACA